This is an RNA transcript of Asparagus officinalis (garden asparagus), 2936 nucleotides long. RefSeq lists it as uncharacterized. The transcript is spliced from 3 exons. The record is from RefSeq and is a predicted model, not a curated record. Lineage: Eukaryota; Viridiplantae; Streptophyta; Magnoliopsida; Asparagales; Asparagaceae.
UUAAGAUUUCUGAAAAGAAAUUCACUUUACUUUGCAUCUCAAUUCAGCCCAUUAAUUUUAUGCUUCAUGAUCAGCUGUCACUUGCCCUUCUUUCAGCAAUAUAUUCGUUGGGUCUUUACCCAAAAAAAAAGAAGAAUAAUAAUAUUCUCUUCAGGAAAACUAAUCACAAAGACUUUUUCAACUAACCCCACCUUCUUCAAUCUCUUUCUCACCAUAAUUCCUGCAUCACAAUUUCUAUACAGGAUCAGUAGCAGCACAAUGGAAGAAGAAUCUGAAUCUGUGGACCAGUGGCUUGCCCGUGCUCGCCAUCUGGUUCCUAUAGCCAUCGAGAAGUCUAAAUCCACCAAGAAUUUCGCAGGUCGAUGGAGUUUGAUAAUCUCCAAGCUCGAACAGAUCCCACAUUGUCUUUCUGAUCUCUCGUCUCAUCCGUUCUUCACAAAGAAUUCUCUAAGUCGAGAACAGUUGGAAUCGAUCUCCAUUGCUCUUUCAGAAACCAUUUCAUUAGCAGAGCAAUGCUCAUCCAGAGAAAUUUCAGUUGGGAAGCUCCAAAUGCAGAGUGAUCUUGAUUCACUUGCUGCGAAGCUAGAUCUAUGUAUUAAAGAUUGUCGCCUUUUGAUCAAGACUGGAGUCCUCGGUGAAUUGAAUGCGCAAUCAUCGCCCUCCUCUGACUCGAUGAUUUGCAGUGUGCAGGAGUUGCUGGCUAGAGUUCAGAUUGGGAACAGCGAGGCAAAACAUAAGGCUGUUGAUGGGCUACUUGAAGCCUUGAGAGAGGAUGGGAAGAAUGUGAUUGCUUCGCUUGGUCGCAGCAAUAUAAAUGCCCUUGUUCAGUUGCUCACUGCACCUGCUCCUAAGGUUAGAGAGAAGGCUGUUACGAUAAUUUGCUUGCUUGCUGAAUCGGGGAGUUGUGAGAGUCUGUUAAUAUCAGAAGGGGUAAUUGCCCCAUUGAUUCGGUUGAUGGAAUCUGGAAGCUUGGUCGGAAGAGAGAAGUCAGUAGUAACACUGCAGAGGCUAUCGAUGUCUGUUGAAAAUGCACGAUCAAUUUCUGAGCAUGGAGGAAUUCUGCCACUAAUUGAAGUUUGCCAAUUUGGGGAUUCAAUUUCACAGUUAGCGGCGGUUGGAACUCUGAGAAACCUCUCGGUUGUGCCUGAAGUGAGGCAGAGUUUAGCAGAAGAGGGGAUUAUCCGGGUCAUGAUCAAUUUGCUAGAUUCUGGAACUGUGCUCGGGUUGAAAGAAUACGCUGCAGAGUGCUUGCAGAAUUUGACAUCAAGCAGUGACAGUCUAAAGAAAGCCGUGGUUUCUGAAGGAGGAAUUCGCAGUAUCUUGGCUUAUCUCGAUGGCCCAUUGCCUCAAGAGUCUGCAGUUGGUGCAUUGAGAAAUCUUGUUACUGUUGUUUCAACCGAUAGCAUAAUUUCUCUUGGGAUUUUACCUCGAAUUGUGCAUGUUUUAAAGAAUGGAUCUUUGGGUGCUAAACAAGCAGCAGCCUCUGCAAUUUGUAAGAUCUCUAAUUCUAUGGAAAUGAAGAGAUUGGUUGGUGAAUAUGGUUGUUUGCCUUUGCUGUUAAGUUUGCUUGAGGCUAAGUCAACUUUGGCAAGAGAAGUUGCUGCUCAAGCCAUUGCCAGCUUAAUGAGCUGCCCACAUAACCGAAGAGAGGUUAAAAAGGACAAAAGGAGCAUUUCGAAUUUAGUUCAGUUGCUUGAUCCGAGCCCUCAGAAUACAGCGAAGAAGUAUGCAGUUUGUUGCCUUUUGUUUAUGACCUCGAGCAAGAAGUGCAAGAGGAUUAUGAUCUCUUAUGGGGCUGUUGGAUAUCUUAAGAAAUUAUCGGAGAUGGAUGUCCCUGGUGGAAAUAAAUUGCUCGAGAGAUUGGAAAAAGGGACUUUAAGGAGCUUGUUCAGCGUGAAAUAAUUUGAAUUUGCUACUUGCUCACUGCGAUGAUGGUGGAUUGGAGACUUGAGAUCUUGCGCUCAUCCAGUUCAUGAUUUGCUGUAGUAGCAUGAGAAAAGGUUCUGGCAUCUUACAAGAUUAGGUCAUAAAGCUAGGUAUGUGAUCGUCUUUCAAAUAUACCAUCAUUAGAUUUGUUCUUCUAUUUUUGUUGAACUAUAUGUCAUAUGUGCUCUUUACUGUUUUUUGGUUUAUCUGAACAAGUAUAAAGAAUGCGAACCUCUUCAGUAUGUUAAUAUAAUUUGUCACAUAUUCAGAUAUGACAAGAACUAAAUACUAAUAUUAGUAUGAAAACCAUUGUAUACAGUUCUCGUACACUAUGUUGUCUCAUGAAAUUUGGAAUUUUCUCAAAAUGAUUCUUUCCCAAACAGCUGCCCAUGGUUGCCUUAUUCAGGAUAAACAGUUUAGAGAUAAGCAUUACUAGAUCUGGUUAAUUUUUCUUGAGUUUAUAUAUCAAACUAAUAUUUGUGAUAAUCACUAGCAGCUCGAUAACCAUUGUGCUUUCUUAUUUUCAAAAUUUGUAUCUGCUAUCACCAACUCCAGCAACACAAUGCCAACGGUUUGUCUGACAAUAAAAUAAUACAAAAAAAGUUCAAUAAAUGACAAUUCUAAAGUUUACAUAGUUCUGGAAUCUAUAUAAAGCAACACAUGAAUAAAACAGAAUAUGACAACUAUAUUGGUAAAGCCAUAAUAUUUUAGCAGGAAUAAAAUUCAUUAUUCCAUAAUAUAUAUUUAACUUUGAAUGCCUUGAUUCUCUAAAGAAAUGAAAUCUUGGACUUUGAUUAUAUCUGACAGUUUCAACUGUUUGCUUUUUUUGGUAGUUGGAAUCAAAUGGUCGGCUGAUCUUUGAACACUCUUGGACUUUGAUUUCCUUUAUAUUCCACCCUCUUGACAACUGAAAUUUUCUCGAAUGGAUUGAAAAAAGAACAAAAAUUUGCUCUUCUUUUGUUUUUGUCUGUAUAUUUCUUAUUGAAUAUGAUACCUAAUUUCCUUUUUCC